UGAAUGGUGAAAACCGAUUGGAAUCAUUUAAAUCUUUGACCGCUAGGUUUUAUGGGUGUUAAUGACACCUCCACUGUUGGGCUUUAUUAGCGCCCGAUAUAUUAUGGACAAAUAAAAAAUGCUAUGCAUAGCACCUUUUUAACUUAGCUAAGUGUAGUGGAUUGACACCUGGUAAUAGACUUGCGGAAAUGUAAUUUCAUCAUGGGUCCCUGAUAUGUACUACACAGAAAUGCAUAAUUAUGGAUACGGAAGUCGUUCUCUUCACUGUGAUGUAUCCAAAACUUCUACCUGUUACGCAAAGGAAACCACUGACCAUUUAGGUUGUGAUGUGACUGAUACAACAAGCACUAAAGCUGAAACAUCACAGGAGAGACAGUUUCCCCAUGUGAAGAGGUCUCUUCAGCAAGUGUUUGAGUGUGCCUACGCCCAGCUAGUCCUCCCCUGGUACAGCGUCCCUGAGCCCUGUGACAGUCAGCUCCUGCACCAGGUGCUGUGGAGGGAGUUUGACCAAGUCAUCGAUCAAGUCAUCAGCAAAGGCAAAGACUUUGACGUCUGUGCUGCAAGUGUGGGCUGCAUUCGCAUCCUGACCCAGCACCUCCAUAAUGCCAAACAGUCUCAUAGAAAACCAUUGUUCCGCUCUAGAGGAGAGGAGGUUGAAGUUCUCCGAGUGUUCUCUGAAGUACUGGUGCGAAACCUUUUACCCCAGUCCCUAUGGGGACUGGCAGUCAGCCACUGUGCCUUAAAUGAGAUAGUUGCCUUAAAAGGUAAGCCCCACAAUAUAGGCCUAUCAGUGCCUUUUGUAUUCUCUCAGCACAUUGCUGAAGUUUUGAAAAAAGAACAAAUUAGCAUGAAAUCAUUAUGUUUCUUAUCAUGAUGAGUAAAGGAUAGAGGUUAGAAAUACUGCACAUACCAUGCUGUAACUAAACUAGGGCUCUCCUUAGAGGAAAGCUAACAUACUGUGUUAUUGAAACCUGCAGAUAAUGUAGAACAACACAUUUCACUGCACCUAUGUGACAAUAAAACAUAUAUAUUUUUUAAUAAUGAUCACAGGAGCCAGUGAAACGGCUUGGAUAAUUUACAUUUAUGGCUUUGUAAUGGUAAGAGUUUUUACUGUUGUAGAUAAAACAUUUAACUUCUGCACCUGUAACCUUAAUUGAGUCUCAAUAAUGUUCAGUGAAACUUGACCGUUAACACCAUUUUGUUUUGUUGCCUGGGAGACGUGGAUACUGGAGGUGGACAUUGGUAUAAAAGUGAAACAAGUUGGAAAGGCUCUCCGUAAGGGUCUGUUAUUCUGAGCCUAAGUGUGUCUGCUUUUUGCCUAUGUAUACUGAGCAAAAAUAGAAAUGCUACAAUUUCAAAGAUUUUACUGGGUUACGGUUCAUAUAAGGAAAUCAGUCAAAUGAAAUAAAUUCAUUAGGCCCUAAUUUAUGGAUUUCACAUGACUGGGAAUAAAGAUAUGCAUCUGUUGGUCACAGAUACCUUAAACAAAAUGUAGGGGCGUGGAUCAGAAAACUAGUCAGUAUCUGGUGUGUCCACCAUUUGCCUCAUGCAGCGUGACGCAUCCCCUUCACAUAGAGUUGAUCAGGCUUUUGAUUGUGGCCUGUGGAAGGUUGUUCUCUUCAAUGGCUGUGCAAAGUUGCUUGGUAUUGGUGGGAACUGGAACUCGCUGUCGUACACCUCGAUCCAGAGCAUCCCAAACAUUCUCAAUGGCAGACAUGUCUGGUGAGUAUGCAGGCCAUGAAAGAACUGGGACAUUUUCAGCUUCCAGGAAUGAUGUACAGAUCCUUGCGACAUGGGGUAGUGCAUUAUCAUGCUGAAACAUGAGGUAAUCGCGGCGGAUGAAUGGCACGACAAUGGGCCUCAGGAUCUCGUCAUGACAUCUCUGUGCAUUUAAAUUGCCAUCGAUAAAAUGCAAUUGGGUUCAUUGUCUGUAACUUAUGUCUGCCCAUACCAUAACCCCACCGCCACCAUUGGGCACUCUUUCCACAAUGUUGACAUCAGCAAACCGCUCGCCCACACGAGUUUGCGGUUGUGAAUCCAGUUGGACGUAUUGCCAAAUUCUCUAAAACAACGUUGGAGGCGGCUUAUGUUAGAGAAAUGUACAUUUAAUUAUAUGGCAACAGCUCUAUUGGACAUUCCUGCAGUCAGUAUGCCAAUUGCACGCUCCCUCAAUUUGAGACAUCUGUGUCAUUGUGUUAUGUGAGACAACUGCACAUUUUAGAGUGGCCUUUUAUUGUCCCCAGCACAAGGUGCAUCUGUGUAAUGACCAUUCUGUUUAAUCAGCUGUUUGAAAUGCCACACCAGUCAGGUGGAUUGAUUAUCUUAGCAAAGGAGAAAUGCUCACUAACAGGGAUGUAAAAAAUUUGUGCACAAGAUUUAAGAGAAAUAAGCUUCCCAAAUAAGAUAUUUUAUUUCAGCUCAUGAAACAUGGGGCAGUUUAUAUUUUUGUUUAGUAUUUAUUGAACAUGGUUUUGUCCCACUACCAUGUGGUUUUACUCUGUAGUCAGUAUCACAUUGACUUUGUCAUCCAUGCCCUCAGCACUGGACCUGCUGGUGCGGUGGCUCUCAGACCCUGACAACCUCAACCAGCUGGUGGUGAGUCAGCUGGAUGGAGCGACCCGUAAGAGCUCUGUGGAGGAGCUGUGUGAGUCCCACUCUGACAGGGCCUCUCCCGUCUCCCUGGAGAGCCAGGCCAGUGGAGCGUGAGUGGACCUUUUCCUACCAGGCCGCCUCUCUUGUCUUUAAUAAACACGCUUCAGUGCUGCAAGGGUGCAGAGAACACAGAAAUAAAUUGUGCUUUGGUUUUGUUUGGUGGCCAUUUUAGGAUGCAGGAAGAAACAGAGGAUGCUCAAACCAGUGACAGCAAGUCCAAAAAGAAAGGUGAGGGUAUUUGUGUAUUUGAAACCAUCACUAAGCUAAUUAAAAUGUCCAGUUUAUUCUGUGUGACCCAUGAUGAUUUUUUUCAUGUUUGUUUUCUUUCUCCUGCCUUAAAGUUAUCAUAGUUGCAGUCAACUUGUGACAUAGAAAAGGGCCAUGAAAAUUGUCGACACUUAGCUAAUCAGAUAUGUGUGGUUUAUCCAGCCAACAAAUUGAAGGAAGGCUGGUCUAAAUUCCUUGACAAGAUGAGAUUGAAGAAGGCUAAAAGGGAGAAGAUGAAGAAAAGGGAGCAGGCGCUGGUUGUCACGGCCAUGUCUAUCCAGGGUCGUCCAUCAAACGAAAAUGAAGGGAGUAGCCGGAACCAGCAGGACUCUGACAGCGUAAGGACACUGCACCAGAAAGAGCGGCUCUGCAGUCAUCACUGCACUAUUCACCCUGUUCUAGUCU
This 3324-nucleotide long non-coding RNA is filed under the name Salmo trutta (river trout). Its description in RNAcentral is "lncRNA (ENSSTUG00000030905.1)". Lineage: Eukaryota; Metazoa; Chordata; Actinopteri; Salmoniformes; Salmonidae. The record is from RNAcentral.